CGAAUGGGGAAACCCACCACGUAAGUGGUAUCUCUUUACUGAAUAUAUAGGUUUAGAGAGGCGAACCUGGGGAACUGAAACAUCUAAGUACCCAGAGGAAAAGAAAUCAACCGAGAUUCCCUUAGUAGCGGCGAGCGAACGGGGACCAGCCCUUAAGCUGUUUAAGCCUUAAUAGAACGCUCUGGAAAGUGCGGCCAUAGUGGGUGAUAGCCCCGUAUAUGAAAAGUCUUUUACAGUGAAAUCGAGUAGGACGGGACACGUGUUAUCCUGUCUGAACAUGGGGGGACCAUCCUCCAAGGCUAAAUACUCC
This 310-nucleotide ribosomal RNA is filed under the name uncultured bacterium. RNAcentral's name for it is "bacterial LSU rRNA". It matches the Rfam family "Bacterial large subunit ribosomal RNA", at positions 115 to 476 of the family's 2925-position model. The record is from RNAcentral.